CCCGUAGUAUUAGCAGGACUACAUCUAUAGCACCAUCCCGUCAAAUGCUUUUCUAUAAUUACACCUCGGUGUUAAACAAUUACACACAACCAGCAAGAUAGUCUGCGCUAGUGAGUACCUAGUACUUUGAACUCCUCAAAUGAUAGGAUUUUUAUCUAUUUAAUACCAUACGUUUGUCCGGAUCAUAUCUAAUAAUGGUGCACAGUUUAGAGUAUCUCCCUAAUUUAUAUCGGCAUAGAUAUAGAGAUAUAUGAUAACAUUAAAUGGAUAUCAUCUUGAAGAUAGAACUAACUUGCAAUCUUAUUUGAGUGAACAUGGAGUAAAUGUUCUCUAGUUACUGGACUAUAAAUAUCACUAGUAUUAUAUGCUUCUCACCAAAAAGAAACGAGAAGAAGAAAUUUGUUAUUGAUAGUAUGGAGCAGAAACCUAUUCUUCUUUGCCUUAUGGUGCUUCUGCUGCAGGCAAAUUGUACUCAUGCUGGUACGAAAUCGAUCUCCAUGUACUUAUUUUCCUUUCUCCUGCCGAUUAUAGCAUAGUGAAAUUGGCAGUUGAGGGGCAUGAUUUUCAUUAGAACUUCCUCAAUUUAAAAUUCUUUCAAUGAUAUAUGUUCUUGUGUACAGAAAUUUGCAAAACUGAAACAGCUUUUGGGACCACCCUAUGCGCAUUUUAUACUUGCCUGAGCACCUGCAUAUCUGUGUGGGGGGGAUCGUGUGAAACAAACAGAUUGUAAGCCUGUCAGACCUUACUAUACAAUUUGUACUUGUCUCGUAUGUUUCUAGAAUUACACUUUGCCAUCAUGUCAAACAAUGGUCAAUGAGGUCAUACAGUAAUAAAAUCUUCUUGUCAAAUGCAUGUGAGGAUGUAUGAAAUCACUAAAUUUGGAUGUUGU
This 889-nucleotide long non-coding RNA is filed under the name Triticum aestivum (bread wheat). RNAcentral describes it as "long non-coding RNA (TAES_LNC026563)". The record is from RNAcentral. Lineage: Eukaryota; Viridiplantae; Streptophyta; Magnoliopsida; Poales; Poaceae.